UUGGAGGGCAAGUCUGGUGCCAGCAGCCGCGGUAAUUCCAGCUCCAAUAGCGUAUAUUAAAGUUGUUGCAGUUAAAAAGCUCGUAGUUGAAUUUCGGGAUCAAUUCGCUGGUCGUGCCUUCGGUACGCACUGGUAUUAUUGGUUUCUCCUUUCUGAUGAAUCGCGAUGUCAUUAAUUUGGUGUCGUGGGGAAUCAGGACCGUUACUUUGAAAAAAUUAGAGUGUUUAAAGCAGGCUCACGCUUGAAUACAUUAGCAUGGAAUAAUGAAAUAGGACGUUUGAUUCUAUUUUGUUGGUUUCUAGGAUCGACGUAAUGAUUAAUAGGGAUAGUUGGGGGCAUUAGUAUUCAAUUGUCAGAGGUGAAAUUCUUGGAUUUAUUGAAGACUAACUACUGCGAAAGCAUUUGCCAAGGAUGUUUUCAUUAAUCAAGAACGAAAGUUAGGGGAUCGAAGACGAUCAGAUACCGUCGUAGUCUUAACCAUAAACUAUGCCGACUAGGGAUCGGAUGAUGUUAAUUUUUUAAUGACUCAUUCGGCGCCUUACGGGAAAC
This 549-nucleotide ribosomal RNA is filed under the name uncultured Glomeromycotina. Its description in RNAcentral is "SSU rRNA". It matches the Rfam family "Eukaryotic small subunit ribosomal RNA", at positions 548 to 1098 of the family's 1831-position model. The record is from RNAcentral. Lineage: Eukaryota; Fungi; Glomeromycota.